AACAUUAUAGCAUAAUUGGAAUUGCGUUAGUUUGCAAAAUUAUGAGUAUAGGUUCGACUCCUGUUAAUGUUU
This 72-nucleotide transfer RNA is filed under the name Ectyoplasia ferox (brown encrusting octopus sponge). RNAcentral describes it as "tRNA-Cys". It matches the Rfam family "tRNA". From Rfam's summary of the family: Transfer RNA (tRNA) molecules are approximately 80 nucleotides in length. Their secondary structure includes four short double-helical elements and three loops (D, anti-codon, and T loops). Further hydrogen bonds mediate the characteristic L-shaped molecular structure. tRNAs have two regions of fundamental functional importance: the anti-codon, which is responsible for specific mRNA codon recognition, and the 3' end, to which the tRNAs corresponding amino acid is attached (by aminoacyl-tRNA synthetases). tRNAs cope with the degeneracy of the genetic code in two manners: having more than one tRNA (with a specific anti-codon) for a particular amino acid; and 'wobble' base-pairing, i.e. permitting non-standard base-pairing at the 3rd anti-codon position. The record is from RNAcentral. Lineage: Eukaryota; Metazoa; Porifera; Demospongiae; Axinellida; Raspailiidae.